CCUACGGGUGGCAGCAGUGAGGAAUAUUGGUCAAUGGGCGCGAGCCUGAACCAGCCAAGUCGCGUGAGGGAAGACGGUCCUAUGGAUUGUAAAUCUCUUUUGUCGGGGAGCAAAAGACGCCACGCGUGGCGUUCCGAGAGUACCCGAAGAAAAAGCAUCGGCUAACUCCGUGCCAGCAGCCGCGGUAAUAUGGAGGAUGCGAGCGUUAUCGGGAUUUAUUGGGUUUAAAGGGUGGGCAGGCGGAAGAUCAAGUCAGCGGUAAAAUUGAGGGGCUAAACCCCGACGAGCCGUUGAAACUGGUUGUCUUGAGUGAGCGAGAGGUGUGCAGAAUGCGUGGUGUAGCGGUGAAAUGCGUAGAUAUCACGCAGAACUCCGGUUGCGAAGGCAGCAUACCGGCGCUAGACUGACGCUCAUGCGCGAAAGUGUGGGUAUCGAACAGGAUUAGAUACCCGUGUAGUC
RNAcentral lists this ribosomal RNA (459 nucleotides) under uncultured bacterium. RNAcentral's name for it is "partial 16S ribosomal RNA". It matches the Rfam family "Bacterial small subunit ribosomal RNA", at positions 338 to 795 of the family's 1533-position model. The record is from RNAcentral.